GUGGGGAAUCUUCCGCAAUGGACGAAAGUCUGACGGAGCAACGCCGCGUGAGUGAAGAAGGUUUUCGGAUCGUAAAGCUCUUUCGUUAGGGACGAACGUGCUCUUUGUGAAUAAUGAGGAGUAAUGACGGUACCUAAAUAAGAAGCCACGGCUAACUACGUGCCAGCAGCCGCGGUAAUACGUAGGUGGCAAGCGUUGUCCGGAAUUAUUGGGCGUAAAGCGCGCGCAGGCGGGAUAUCAAGUCUGUCUUAAAAGUGCGAGGCUCAACCUCGUGAGGGGACAGAAACUGGUAUUCUUGAGUGUCGGAGAGGAAAGUGGAAUUCCAAGUGUAGCGGUGAAAUGCGUAGAGAUUUGGAAGAACACCAGUGGCGAAGGCGACUUUCUGGACGAUGCCUGACGCUGAGGCGCGAAAGCUAGGGGAGCGAACGGGAUUAGAUACCCGGGUAGUCC
This 450-nucleotide ribosomal RNA is filed under the name uncultured bacterium. RNAcentral describes it as "partial 16S ribosomal RNA". It matches the Rfam family "Bacterial small subunit ribosomal RNA", at positions 354 to 796 of the family's 1533-position model. The record is from RNAcentral.